AUGACNAGUCUGACGGAGCACGCCGCGUGAGCGAUGAAGGCCUUCGGGUCGUAAAGCUCUGUUGUUAGGGAAGAACAAGUACCAGAGUAACUGCUCGUACCUUGGCGGUACCUAACCAGAAAGCCACGGGUAACUACCUGCCCACCGCCGCGGUAAUACCUAAGUGGGGAGCGUUUUCCGGAAUUAUUGGGCGUAAAGCGCGCGCCAGCGGUUUCUUAAGUCUGAUGUGAAAGCCCACGGCUCCACCGUGGAAGGGCAUUGGAAACUGGGAAACUUGAAUGGCGAAAAAGAAAACGGAAUUCCCCGUGUAGCGGGGAAAUGGGUAAAGAUGUGGAAGAACCCCA
This 344-nucleotide ribosomal RNA is filed under the name uncultured bacterium. RNAcentral's name for it is "bacterial SSU rRNA". It matches the Rfam family "Bacterial small subunit ribosomal RNA", at positions 375 to 711 of the family's 1533-position model. The record is from RNAcentral.